AGGGUAAUAGCUCAGGGUUAGAGCGCAUGUUUAGCAUGCGUGAGGUCCUGAGUUCAACCCCCAGUACCUCCA
RNAcentral lists this transfer RNA (72 nucleotides) under Camelus bactrianus (Bactrian camel). It matches the Rfam family "tRNA". From Rfam's summary of the family: Transfer RNA (tRNA) molecules are approximately 80 nucleotides in length. Their secondary structure includes four short double-helical elements and three loops (D, anti-codon, and T loops). Further hydrogen bonds mediate the characteristic L-shaped molecular structure. tRNAs have two regions of fundamental functional importance: the anti-codon, which is responsible for specific mRNA codon recognition, and the 3' end, to which the tRNAs corresponding amino acid is attached (by aminoacyl-tRNA synthetases). tRNAs cope with the degeneracy of the genetic code in two manners: having more than one tRNA (with a specific anti-codon) for a particular amino acid; and 'wobble' base-pairing, i.e. permitting non-standard base-pairing at the 3rd anti-codon position. Lineage: Eukaryota; Metazoa; Chordata; Mammalia; Artiodactyla; Camelidae. The record is from Rfam by way of RNAcentral. RNAcentral also lists the same sequence under 2 other names.